Long non-coding RNA from Heterocephalus glaber (naked mole-rat), 344 nucleotides. The record is from Ensembl. NCBI's taxonomy places the organism in Eukaryota, Metazoa, Chordata, Mammalia, Rodentia, Bathyergidae.
CUCAGAGAAGGUGGCUGACCCCAACCAUCCCAGGGUAAUACACACAGAUGGUGUCUCCUGCUCUGCCGCCUCCUUGUAAUCACCAAAUAAAAUAUUCAUGCAUUCAGAUGUUUGCUUGGGACCAGUGCUCUCCAGUAGAACUUCCUGCCAUGAUGAAAAAGUAUCUGUGCUGUCCAUGAUGAUAGCCACAAAAUACAUGGAGUAAUGGACCACUUCCACUGUGGCCAGUGCAACUGAGGGACUCAACUUCUAAUUUUAAUUAAUUUAAAAUUAAAUUGCCAUAUAUUUAAUGGUUCAAAUGUAUAUUAUAUUAAAUGUCAUAUACUUGAAAUUCAUUUUUCCUG